CCGGCGACCGGCGCACGGUGAGUAACACGUAUGCAACCUGCCCUCUUCAGGGGGACGAACCUUCCGAAAGGGAGGCUAAUCCCGCGUAUAUCGGUUUCGGGCAUCCGAGAUCGAGGAAAGAUUCAUCGGAAGAGGAUGGGCAUGCGGCGCAUUAGCUAGACGGCGGGGUAACGGCCCACCGUGGCGACGAUGCGUAGGGGUUCUGAGAGGAAGGUCCCCCACACUGGUACUGAGACACGGACCAGACUCCUACGGGAGGCAGCAG
This 265-nucleotide ribosomal RNA is filed under the name uncultured bacterium. Its description in RNAcentral is "partial 16S ribosomal RNA". It matches the Rfam family "Bacterial small subunit ribosomal RNA", at positions 88 to 354 of the family's 1533-position model. The record is from RNAcentral.